UAUUGAUUGAUUGAUUAGGAGAGGAAUGGGACUGGGUUACCUGUAGGUCAUGUCUCCAAGGUUGGCGCCCCUCGACCUAGAAUAUCUGAUCCUACAGCUGGGUCUAGUAGACCUGGCAUACCUACUGCCAGGAAACCGAAGGCCCCGCCCAUGAUGGCCAAAGUAAAGAGUAUGAUGAAGGGAUUAACAAGAUUUGGAAGAAGAUAAUUAAAAAAAAUUUUAAUAAAUAAUGGUGUUAGCUGGUUCUACUUUUGCAUGUAUACUCAUCUGUUGCUCUAAUAUUGAAAAAUGUCAUCUCUGAUGUUGCAUCCUUUGUAUAAAAAUUAUUUUUUGUUAUUAAACGAAAUGUAAAUUUUUUUCAUUUGUAAAAACUUCACACUUGAAACUUGUUCACUGUUCUUGAGUCAAAAAAAGUGCACGAUUAUUUUAAUGUACGGCACUUUUGUUCACUGUUCAAGUUAUAUAGUCAGUUAAAUUGUUAAGUACCGUAAAGAUAUCAUAUUGAUACUAUUUUAUCCUACGUAAACGAGCUUUAUUUUUAGAAAAUUUAUUAAACAUUUAUCAAGAUUCUUUCUGUAAACGUUAAAGCAUGCUAUUCCUACAUAAAUUCAUUAAAAAUACUUUAAAUUAUAUCAAUAUAUCUAAGAUAUA
Long non-coding RNA from Eurytemora carolleeae, 651 nucleotides. RefSeq lists it as uncharacterized. Lineage: Eukaryota; Metazoa; Arthropoda; Copepoda; Calanoida; Temoridae. The transcript has 3 exons. The record is from RefSeq and is a predicted model, not a curated record.